Molecule: long non-coding RNA, 16486 nt
Filed under: Vitis vinifera (wine grape)
Lineage: Eukaryota; Viridiplantae; Streptophyta; Magnoliopsida; Vitales; Vitaceae
Description: long non-coding RNA (VVIN_LNC005357)
Source: RNAcentral
UUUCUUGCCACCGGAACCUUGGCCAACCCUUUGGACGGCCAAAUGACCUCCGUUUUGGCCCAAAUUUUGAGGAGGUGUUCUACUCGACGAGAGGAAUGAUUCUACGAUGGCCAAUCGUGAUUUUAAUGGUUGCAUUCUUGGAUCUGUGGUAGGAGAACCUAACCCUAAAACUUUAAUUAAAUGUGUUUUUCAUUGAAAAAAAUUUGUAAAUCUUAUCAUUAUGAGUUAAGUAGGUAAUGCUGAUGUUGUAAGAAUUUUUUUUUAUGAUUUGGAAUUUUUGUAAUUUUGGGAAUUUAUUUUUGGUUGAUAAAUAAUUGUUUUGGGUUGUUAAAAAUUAUGGGAAUCAUUGGAAAAUUCCGAAAUUGUGGUAUAAUUUCAAAUUUAUUGAUAUGUGAAUUUUUGAAAAUUUCUUGGAAUAUUUUCGGAAAUUUUAUUGUGGAAAAUGAAUUAUAUUGGAUUAUUGAGAUUGUUGGAAUUGUUGAAAUUGUUGGAAUUAUUGGGAAAUUUUGGCAUGAUUGUAAUUCCAAUUAUAUUGGUGAUACAUAUGAAUGAGAGAAAUUAACCUCAUGGCAUUCAUUUGCUGAUGGUUGUGUGAAGAAAUGAUAAAAAUUGUGGAAAGUGUAUGAAAUGGAAAAAAAAAAAAAAAAAUAGUGAUGAAAAGUAAAAGCUCAUGUGAGGCGAAUUAAGAAGGGAGAGAGAUCCCUAGGGUGAAAAACCCAAAAGUUUACCCUAGGAAGACUUCGAAUGGGGAGUGUAUUUGGGUGCAGACACGUAUCCUUCGGUGAAAGCCCGAGAAUGACGGUGCAUUGUAUGACUGUGUGUCACACGUUCAUAUGCAUUUCAUUUAAUUGUUGAAUAUUGUGAAAUUGUGUAUAAUUAUAGAGAUUAAUUUAUGUGGCUUGAUCAAUGUUGUUGAAAUGUUUCUUUUGUGUUCUUUGGAACUUAGUAAUCCCCAUUAACCCCUUGGGUGUUAGGCACCCUACUGAGCAAUGUGGAAUGCUCACCUUUUCCUUUUUACAUCUUUUUAGAUGCAAAUAUCACUUCUAAGAAUCCAUAGGUGGGGUAAGGAGGGCUUCAGGAUGCUCUUGGAGCGGCUUAGUGGAGUGUGUCGUAUUUAUUGUGUUUGUGGUAUUGGGACUUGUUUUAAUAAACAGUGAACUAUGGAUUUGUUGAUUCGUGCCCAAUUGGUGUCUCAGCUGAUUUGUGUUCAGCUGGUGCUCCUUGAUUGAGGGAGUAAUCAACAAAAUUUAUUUCCUAUAACACCAUACACUAGGGUAGCAAAGAAAAAGCUACUAUAGUAUAGUGGCUCUAGGGUCGUUCACUGGGAAUGAUUAACAAGCAAUCAAUGAUACCAAUUCCAAGUGAAUUGGUCUUGAUUCAUUUCAUGGUUAGCUUAAGAAGUAAAACACAAACUUUGAUUGGUAAAGGUUUAGACUUAAACUAACUAACAUAACAGAAGUUUGGAAUAAUUUAGGAAGAAAAGCAUUCCUUGGAGAGUUAGGUUCACUGGGGUGGUUCCUCAUGCAAAAGACAUAGCUCCGGUCAGAUGGUUCAUUUCCUCGCAUUAGAGAUUCAACUUAUAGUCAAUUCUCUAACCGGUGAUGUACAGAGACUCCUUCAAUUAGAUUUCACUUUAAUUCUCUCACUGAUGCAACUUGCAAUGGUUUAAGCCUCUCACUAAGCCUUAACCAUUCAAGGUGAUCUUUAACCUUGGAUAACCCGUCAAAAGCUCGCAAGAGAUAACUAAUGGAUGCCUCCUAGGAGUCCAAAAGCUUACCAAGUGUUGGCUAUUCUAAAAAAUCCUACCCUAAAGUCACCUACCAGAGGCUCGCAAGGGGUAAACUAGUGCAUUUCCAUGGUUGGAAAUCACUUGCCUUACCAAGUGUUGGCCCAGGUGACUCCAAGGUGUUUUAAGUUAACCAAAAACAUAGAAAUCACUAAAGGAUUUCACUUCCUCUUCAUUAAUAGCUAAAACCACAGAGCUUUGCAUUCUUGCACUUGGAACCUUCCCCGGCAACCUUAGCUCCAAGGAAUUAGUGGUUUAGUUACUCAUUCUCUAGGGAAAACUCCUCAGAGAGUUCAUAACUUAGUAAGAAAAUGAAAAUACAAAGUGAGAAGGUAAGGCAGUAGAAAGAAAAUAGACUUUACUUGCUUACCCAAACGUUUACAGAAGGAACUCCUCUCCGAGAACAGGCUCCCGAGAGGUAUAUAUAUCAACAUAAUAUAAAACUAAUUGUUACAAAGAUAUUUAGUCUUUUUACUAACUUAAAAACUAAGGAAUCAUGUAAUUGGUGGUUUACAAGGAGUAUUUUGGGAUUUAGACAACAAAAAUCUAAUGGAAAAUAUCUCCAAAUGUCGGUAGCAAACUUCGGGAGGCUUCAGGAAUCAUUUCGCAGGAGAAAAAUGGUGUUUGCGAAAUUUCGCAGACACCCAAGAGGGCUGCGAAAUUAUUUCGCAACACCAAGCUAUCUUCACAAGGCUGCGAAGUUAGCUUCCACCUUGAGGUUCCCAGCUCCCUUCUCGCGGCAUGGUUCGUGCAUCGUUAGAAGGAGAAACACCUUACUGUACAAAAAUGCUGCGAAAUCACUUCGCAACAAAAGGGUGAUUUCGCAACACUUUGCAAAAUGCUUCCUUCAGCUCGGAGUGAUUGGCUUGUAAUGGCUGUAACUUCCUCGUUUCAACUCCGAAUUGCACACCGUUUGAAGCAUUGGAUUGUUGACUUCCUGAGCUUUGAAAUGGUAUAUAGUAUGCAUCAUUUGGACUUCAGAAAGUGCUCCAAAAGUGGCUGCUACAACUGUCAUCAAGAAUAUGCUUUAUGGCAGAUUCUCUUUGCUUUUUCUCCUUGCAAUCUGGAUUCACUCUUGGCAAAUGAAUUCUAAGCUUUGCCCAAGAUUCCUCAUAGCUCUCCUCAGUCUUGACUUGCUUUGGUGAUCAAAAUACUAUCAAAAACACCAAAACUUACACAAAGUGAUCAAAAUUGCUUUAAAGGAUCCUUAACAUGCCAAUUGAGUUAAAAGGCCAAAACUACUACUCAAAAGUGUUUAAAAGGAUUAAUUAUAGGCUAUCAAAUAGCACUUUUUGAGUAGUAAUCACUCCCCCCAACCGACAUAUUGCUAGUCCCUUAGCAAUAUAGGAGAGAAAAAUGAAAAUAAAUAGCAAACUAAUCUAAAAUUUACAACAUCAUGCUGAUAGAAAAUAAUUCUCAAAUGGCAUGAUGAUCUAAUUCUCACAUGAAGCAUUAAAGAAAUACAAACCCAAAUCUCAACAAGAGUCAUAACACCUAUGCUAAACACUGUCAAUCAAGGGAGUGCAUUAUGCAAACUGAAGUUUUAAAACCAUUUCCACUUUCUAAGAACCAAACUUUAAUCUUCCACAAAAAUCUAUGUGUAUUGGUUCCUUAGCUUCCGAGAAUAAUAUGCUAAACUAGUCUCACCCCCCAACCUAUCUCUUUUCAACACUUUAGCAAACUGACCAAAAUCAAUAAGAAAAGAACACACCUUUUUUUUUUUUUUUUUUUUUUUUCAAGGUAACUUUAUGGGGUACUCUUUCUGACUUGUCCAUGUAAUGGGGGUCCAUCGAUGACUCCCAACCAAUUAAGGUUUAGGGCACCAAGUUUUAAGGAUCUUUCAACCACUAACUCCUCGGAUUUUUCCCCGGACUUUUAAGAAUGAAUUUCUAAUACCCAAGCAUCUACCAUAUGCUAGCUCUACCUAUUCACCCUUGUAACGAGCAUUGAGGUCGAUGACUCCCAACUAAUUAAGGCUUAGGGCACCAGGCUUAAAAGAUUUUCACCAUAUACCCCUCAGACCUUGCUUGGGUUUCAAGGCAAGCAAACAACUUUCUUUAUUUCAAAGGCUCAUUGGCCUUUUGCAGGGUGUUUCAAUUUUUAUCAAAUGAGGUCAAAUAUACCAAGUCCCAAAAUUAUCCUAAGUCAAGAGGGAAAUAGCUUUUCAUCUUAUAAUCGGAAUCUAAUGUGCACAGUGUGUGAAUAGCUUAAAGUGGAAGAACUCAAUUCAAUUUCAGUAGAAGUUUCAACAAUUGAACCACUUUAGUAAGCAUAAUCCAUACUCUAAGUCAAGUGAAAAACAACAGUUCAAUUUCUCUUGGUUUAAUUUGAAAUUUUUUCCUCAAAAUUCAUGGAGAAUAGAGUAACAAGAGUAAAAAGUAAAAACUAUAACUAAUUAACCAAUAUAAUUGCAAUACCAAAAAGAUUUAGAAUACUUCCUUCCUCAUACCCCCCAACCGAACUGAGCAUUGUCCUCAAUGUGAUUUGAGUGACUGUAAUAAAAGGGAGGAAGUGGUACCUCCUUGCUGAUAUCAAAUUCGAAUAUUGAUUGGGGAAAACCACAUGUUUCAAAAAGAAUAGAAUAUGUGAGAAAAGGAAAUAAUAAUAACUUAAUGCUAAUUUUUAACAAGAAAUAUUCAACUUGUAUUACUUUGAGUUCAUUUGAUUACAAUGCUAAGGACAAGUAACACAAGGAAUCCCAUAUAUAGUACCAAAAUACUGGGACUUCAUUUCAACUAAAAAAACAAACAUGCAUAAAAACAUAAACAACAAAUAUAUAUAAUGUCUGAUUAGUGGGGUGGUGGUGCUAGGCAGAAGGAUCUGCCUCCUCAGUAGGUGGAUCAGCUGGGGCUUCGGGCUCUGGAGGAUGAGACUCUGAAGGCUGAGAGUGUGGCUCUGGUGGAGUAUCAGUGGAGGGCUCUACAGCUUGUGGCAGAUCGAAAUGGACUUGGAGCUGCCUUAAGAUGGCAGCUUGUUGAGCCUGAGAGGCUAACAUCUGCUCUUGGCACGCUUUGAUGGUUGCCAUCUCCUGAGUAAGAUUGCUCUGAGAAGCUGUAAGAGUCUCCAAUGCACGGCACAAUUCUCGAUAUUCAGAUAUAGGAAUGGCCAUCCUCGGCUCAGCUGAUGUGGAUGGUUGAGAUGAAGCAGGUGCAGCUGGUGGAGCUCUAGGAAUGGCAGGAGUGGCAACUGUUAUAUCUUCAGGUCUAUGUCUUCGGGAUGCUCUCCUUGCAGCUGGCUGAGGCUGCCCAGGCUGAUCAACUUUGUAGGCCGUCAUGUUAUUCCAUUUAUCUAGGGUAAAUGGCUCACGGCAAAUUCGCUUUCUCUCUAGUUGAGGCUCAGAGGGGUAUCCCAGAUGCUCCAACAUUUGGCAAAGCAGCCUUGGGAAGAGGAGGGGAAUACAAUCUGCUCUUUGAAGCUUCUUCUUGUGCACCUUCUCUUCAAAAUAGAGAAGGGCUGCCAUGAUCAGAUGAUGAGGCCCAAAGAAAAAUCCUUCUGACAUCUUGUAAAGAGCUUCCAAGAGGACUCCCCUUCUUUGGGUCCAAUGCUGCAGGGGAUAUAUAUUAUGGCGCAAAAAGGCAUCAAUCAAAAACAUAACUGGAGGAAGCUCCCCCCUCAGCAGAUGUGAUCGAUUUGCAGCUCCUCUGGAAAGGGUGCUCACCAUCUCUAGCUCAGUAGGAUUUGCCCAAGCUCUAAAAUUAUCGAAUUGGGUUGGCUCAAAGGGAAUUUGCAGGGCUUCAGCAAUAUGUCGUGCUCCCAAUAUACCAUGUCUCCCAUCAAUAAUAAAAUGAAUCAAGGUUGGAUUCCUGACCUCUUUGGUUGUCAUGGAUUGGUAGAAAUCCGUGACUACCCGGGGAUAGAAAAAGUCUCUUGGAGCUAGAAGAUGCUCCAUAUGGUACCUCCUCAGCAGCUGGAAUGAUUGGGCAAGCUCCGACCUCACUCUGAAUGCUGCUAAGUCGAAGCAAAGCUCGGAAUGGAAUGCCCGAGUUCGACAAUCCAAAUUCCCCUCAAUUGGGGGCUGAGGUAGCAUUGGCCUCCGGAUUACUUCUUCCAGAGCUACUUCAGCUGCAAUUUGGGGCUCUGGAAGUGGCGCUUGAGGCUCCUGAGAUUUUUCUUGCGGCACCAGAGAUGGUACCGGCGACUGAACUGGCGAGGGAACUGGAGUUGCAAAUGGAGAAGGAUCUGGUGAGGAUACCGGAGAUUGAACCGGUGAUGGCUCUGGGGAUUGCUCAGGGGAUUGCUCAGUCAAAUCGAUGGGUUCUAAGCUCUCGACCCUUGGCUUCUUUUGUAAUGGUCGACCUCCGGACCUGGUUAAAUAUCGUCUUGUCGGCGGCUUUGGUGGCACGGGUUUCACCGGAGGAGGAUUUGGCCUUGAUGGCGAAGGCUCUGGAGCAGAACCUGGACUUGGCUCCUUUCGCAGACUCUUUUUGCGGUUCGAAGGAGAUGAAGACUUAGCCCCUCGUGUUCGUGCCAUUUUGGGCUAUCGAACUUUGGCCGGCGUUGCUGAUCGGAGAAGAUGAACGGAGGCUCGGACGGCGUAGCUUGGUGAAGAAGACGAACAGGCUGCGAGAAUGGUGCUCUGAUUUUUGAAACCCUUUUCGCAGCUCAAAUGAUCGGUAUAAAUAGGAAAAACGGAAGCCUAAGGGUCAGUUUAAGUUUCGCAACAAAACGCCAAUUUCGCAGCAAAAUGCCAUUUUCGCAGCAACUUCGCAGUGAGUUUCGCAGCUGCGAAAUCGAUGUUACUGUGCUGCGAAGUGGCACUCGUGUGCCAAAUUCACUUUCGCAAUUGCGAAAUACCCUGCGGAAUAGGACUUUUGGUGCGAAAUCACGCUUUUCCACUUCGCAAUGUGUUUCGUAGCUGCCAAAUGGAUGCCACUGUACUGCGAAGUGGCACUCGUGUGCCAAAUUCACUUUCGCAGCUGCGAAAUACCCUCGCAGAGACUUCUACAGUGUUGCGGAAUGGUUUGGCAACAAAAUGCUCAUUUCGCAGAAGUUUCCUUCACCCUGCGAAAUUUCGCAGAGCUCUGUUUUUCCUCUGUUUUUGCUCUGUUUCGGCUCCAAUUUCGACCCAAUUUUUUUUCUUUCAAUCUCCUUGAAAUUUCUUCCACCUGGGAUCAUUUAAAACAAUUAAAACACACCUAAAAACAUGAUUUAAGAUCAAAAACUAAGAUCAAAAGUAUGGAAACAACUUGAAAAUUUACAAAAUUUACAAAAAUUUUGGACUGUGGUAAAACCACGUCUAGCAAACCCUUUUUCACUUAGGCUUUUUGAGGCUCAAGGAGGUUGAUUGCCUCAUUUUCUGAUUUGAAUGGCUCCAUGAAUGGCUUGAGACGAUAUCCAUUGACUUUAAAGCUAUCCUUGCCAUUGGAAUUCAAUAAUUCCACCACUCCAUUGCCAUAUACUCGGUGAAUAAUGAACGGGCCAAUCCACCUCGACUUGAGCUUCCCAGGAAAGAUAUGGAGUCUUGUGUCAUACAUCAAAACUCUUUGCCCUUCUUGAAAUUCCUUGUUGGAGAUGAGUUGAUCAUGCCACUUCUUCAUCCUCUGUUUUGCAACUUUGGAAUUGAUAUAAGCAUUAUUUCUUAAUUCCUCCAUCUCAUUAAGGUCUAGAAAUCUCUUUUCUCCUGCCUUGAUCAAGUCCAUAUUCAUCUUCUUUAUUGCCCACCAAGCUUUGUAUUCAACUUCCACAGGGAGAUGACAUGCUUUGCCAUAGACAAGACGAUAGGGAGACAUCCCAAGAAUAGUCUUAUAAGCUGUUCUAUAUGCCCACAAUGAAUCAUGAAGCCUAAUAGACCAAUCUUUUCUGUUGGAAUUCACCACUUUCAUCAAAAUGUUCUUUAUUUCCCUGUUAGCUAGCUCAACUUGCCCGGAAGUCUGAGGAUGACAAGGUGUAGCCACCUUAUGCUUUACUCCAUACUUGGAUAACAGAGCUUCAAAAGGUUUGUUGCAAAAAUGAGCACCUCCAUCACUGAUUAUGGCUUUGGGCACCCCAAAUCUUGAGAAAAUGUUCUCUUUAAGAAACUUGAGAACCACCCUGUGAUCAUUUUGCUUACAGGGGAUUGCCUCAACCCAUUUAGAAACAUAAUCCACCCCCACCAAGAUGUAAGAAUUACCAAAAGACAUUGGGAAAGGUCCCAUGAAGUCAAUGCCCCAUACAUCAAAUAACUCAACUAUCAGAAUGGGGUUCAUAGGCAUUUGAUUUCUUUUUGUUAGCUUUCCAAGCCUUUGGCAUCUAUCACAAUUUCUACACAUGAUGUGGGCAUCUUUGAAAAGAGAUGGCCAAGUAAACCCUGAUUGCAAUACCUUCAUGGCUGUUUUCUGAGAGGCAAAGUGGCCUCCACAUGCAUUCUCAUGACAAUGAGAUAGAAUCCCUUGCUACUCAUCUUCAGGGACACACUUCCUAAUAAUCUGAUCUGCACAAUACUUAAAGAGAAAGGGCUCUUCCCAAUAAUAAGCAUGAAUUUUAGCAAAGAAGUGUUUCCUGUCCUGUGCAUUCCACUCACUUGGAAUUUCUCCAGUUACUAAAUAAUUAGCAAUAUGAGCAUACCAAGGAGUUUUCACUAGGAACAUGAGUGAUUCUUCAGGAAAAUCAUCAUUGAUAGGCAAGGGAUGGGAAUUAUGUGCUAUAACUAACCUUGACAAGUGGUCAGCUACUACAUUCUCCACUCCUUUCUUAUCUUUGAUUUGAAGAUCGAACUCUUGUAACAAAAGAAUCCAUCUAAUCAACCUUGCUUUUGCAUCUUGCUUUGUCAAUAAAUACUUCAAGGCUGAAUGGUCAGUAAAGACUAUAAUGAAAGACCCCACUAAAUAAGCUCAAAAUUUGUCCAAAGCAAAUACCACAGCUAACAAUUCUUUCUCUGUAGUUGCGUAGUUCCUUUGGGCUUCAUUUAGUGUUUUACUUGCAUAGUAAAUCACAUAGGGUUUUCCAUCUUCUCUUUGGCCAAGCACAGCUCCUAUAGCAAAGUCACUGGCAUCACACAUCAAUUCAAAAGGUAAUUGCCAGUUAGGGGCUCUCACUAUUAAAGUUGUUGUUAAAAAUUUCUUCAGUUGAUCAAAGCUAUUCUGACACCUUUCAUCCCAUAUAAACUUAGCAUCCUUAGCUAACAGCUCACAAAGAGGUUUUGAAAGACUUGAAAAACCUUUUAUAAACCUCCUAUAGAACCCUGCAUGGCCAAGGAACUGCCUUACUCCUUUUACAGUUGUUGGGGAUGAUAAUUUGGCAAUAAGCUCCACCUUUGCUUUAUCAACUUCAAUGCCUUUUUCAGAGAUGAUAUGGCCAAGGACAAUUCCUUGACGUACCAUAAAAUGGCAUUUCUCCCAGUUGAGCACCAGGUCUUUUUCAAUGCAUCUAUGAAGAACUACUUCCAAAUUAACCAAGCAUUCCUCAAAUGUACCUCCAUAUACGGUGAUGUCAUCCAUGAAAACCUCCAUAAUUCUCUCCACCAUAUCACUGAAAAUACUCAACAUACAUCUUUGAAAUGUAGCAGGUGCAUUCCAUAAACCAAAAGGCAUUCUUCUAUAAGCAUAUGUUCCAAAUGGACAUGUAAAAGUGGUCUUUUCCUGAUCUGCCAAAUCAAUUUCAAUAUGAAAAUACCCUGAAUACCCAUCCAAGAAACAAUAGAAUGGAUGUCCAGAGACUCUCUCCAGCACUUGAUCAAUAAAUGGCAAUGGAAAAUGAUCUUUCCUAGUGACAGCAUUUAGCUUUCUAUAAUCAAUACACACCCUCCAACCUGAUGUGAGGCGUGUAGUAAUUUCUUCCCCUUCUUCAUUUUGGAUCACUGUGAUCCCUGACUUCUUUGGUACCACUUGAGUAGGACUCACCCAAGGGCUAUCAGAAAUAGGGUAAAUGAUUCCUGCUUGAAGUAGCUUCAGCACUUCAGCUCGCACCACCUCUUGUAGAUGAGGAUUCAACCUUCUUUGAAAUUGUCGAAUUGGCUUUGCUUCCUCCUCCAUAUAUAUAUGAUGAGUACAAACUAAAGGACUAAUGCCUUUCAAAUCAGAUAUUUACCAUCCUAUUGCCUUCUUACACCUCCUGAGAACUUCCAUUAAACCAUCCUCUUGAUGACUGGUCAAAGAUGAAGAUAUCACAACAGGACAUUGAUUAUUUUCUUCAAGGUAUGUAUAUUUCAACUCGACAGGUAAAGGCUUCAGAUUGAGUUUUGGAAUUUCUUUUUCAACAGCUGCCUCCUCUUCUUCAUUGAACAAAGUAGAAUUUCUUCUAUCUUUCUCCAACUUUGUAGAGUAGCUAGCCCAAUAGGAGAUUCAGAAAAACCUUCCUCAAUAUCCACAAGACUUUCAUUCGACUUGUCUUGCAUAUGUUGAUUGCAGUGCUCCUCCACCAAAGUAUCAAUUAUACAUAGCUCUUCUGGACCUUCUUCUUCUUCCGGAGUGAUUUGCUUUUUAGACAUAUAGAAAAUAUUGAGAUCCAGUGUCAUGUUACCAAAAGUGAGUUGCAUAAGCCCAUUUCUACAAUUAAUGAUUGCAUUUGAAGUUGCAAGAAAUGGCCUUCCAAGGAUGAUAGGAACUAAAUUAGCUUCCUUUACAGUAGGAUCUGUAUCAAGAACAAUAAAAUCUACUGGAUAGUAGAAAUUAUCUACUUGAACCAAUACAUCCUCAAUUACCCCUCUUGGAAUUUUCACUGAUCUAUCUGCCAGAGAUAAAGUGAUUGUUGUUGGCUUCAACUCUCCAAGGCCCAAUUGCUUGUAGACGGAAUAUGGAAGCAAAUUCACACUUGCUCCCAAAUCUAACAAGGCUUUCUCCACUACCUUUCCUCCAAUCAUGAUUGAAAUGGUAGGACUUCCAGGGUCUUUGUACUUCAAAGGAGACUUACAUUGUAAGAUUGCACUUACUUGCUCAGUCAAGAAGGCUUUCUUGUUUACAGUCAACCCUCUCUUGAUAGUACACAAGUCCUUUAGGAAUUUUGCAUACGUUGGAACUUGUUUGAUCAUAUCCAGCAGUGGAAUAUUAACUUUCACUUGCCUCAAUACUUCAAGGAUUUCAGCUGCAUUUCUAAUCCCCUUUUUCCCAUGUAAUGCUUGAGGAAAAGGUGGAGAAGUUGAUUUCUUCAGCAUUUCUUCCUUCAUAAGCUCAUUCUCUGGAAUUACUUUCCUUGUUGAAUCAGAGUCCUUCUUUUCUUCACUGAUCUCACUCUCUUUAUCUUCCAUGGCCUUCCCUUUCUUUAUCUCUUCUUCUUUCUCAACAUGUGGCUUGGGUGUUGGCUGCUCAAUUUUCUUACCACUCCUUAGAGUGAUCAAGGCUUUAACAUCUUUCACCUGUGAUGAUUCUCCCUCUUGGCAUUCCACUUCAUGGACACCUUUGGGAUUUUGAUGAGGUUGAGAAGGAAAUCUUCCCUUUUCUUGCAGUGUAUUCAAAUUUGUAAGCCUUGAAAUUGAAUAUUGGAUGUUGUCAAACUUUUGGUUCAUAUCAUUUUGCAUUCCAUCCAUCCUUUUAUUCAACAUACUCUCCACUCUAUCAACUUUUUGAUCGACUCGAGCAUUGGUGGCUUCUUGCUUUUCAAUAAAAUCUCCCAUUACCUUGCUGAGAUUGGUUAUUGCUUGUUCAAUACUUGAAGUUUGCUGAGAUGGUGGAUCCGGCUGUUGAUACUGAGUUGCUCUAGCCUUCCAUGAGAAAUUUGGAUGAUUCCUCCAACUUGAAUUGUAGGUAUUUCCAUAAGGAGCAUUAUUAUUGGGCCUAAAUUGUCCAACAACAUUUGCUUGAUCUCUAUACAUUUCCCUUUCAGAUGAAAUUACAGGGCAUUCCUCCACCAAAUGUUCAAAUGAUUGACAAUUGGGACACAGCUUCACUUGCACUGGUGCUUCAGCAACAGCUUGCACUUCAUGUAUUCUUUUCAGCUCCAGCUCCUCCAAUCUUCUUGUCAUAGCUGCCAACUUUGCUUUCAUGUCAUCAUCUUCUUUUAAAUUAUACAUCCCAGCCUUUGCAUUGUAAGCAUUCAACUGAGACUUCAUCUUUCCCACUUCUCCUUUAGUUGGUUCAUCCCAUCCCCUUGAAACAUCAGCUACAUAGCUCAAGAAAUCCAUAGCUUCCUCUGGAUUUUUGCUCAUGAAAUCUCCUCCACACAUUGUCUCGAGGAGUUGCUUCAUUGAGGAGGACAUACCAUUAUAAAAAUAGCUCACCAAUAGCCAAGUAUCAAAGCCAUGGUGAGGACAAGCAUUUGUAGCUUCCAUGUAUCUUUCCCAACACUCAUAGAAUUUCUCAUUCUCUUUAGCUGAGAAAUUUGAAAUUUGCCUUUUCAAGCCAUUUGUUCUAUGAGUAGGAAAAAAUUUCUUGAGGAAUUCAGCUUGUAAAUCAGUCCAAGAGCGGAUACUCCUUGGCCUUAAAGAAUUAAGCCAAAUUUUGGCCUUAUCCUUUAAAGUAAAAGGAAAUAACUUAAGCCUCAUCAAAUCAAUUGAAGCUCCUCCCUCUUGGAAUGUAUUACAAACUUCUUCAAAUUCCUUGAUGUGUGCAUACGGAUUCUCACUUUCCAUCCCAUGGAAAGUUGGUAGAAGUGGAACAAGAUACGGUCUGAUCACUAGCUGCUCUGUAGGGGGCACUAUACAUGAUGGUGCACUCAUACGAGGUGGAUGCAUACGGUCCCUCAUUGAUCUGAAUUCAUUGAGAUUAUCUUGAUGACCUUGGUGACUAUGCUGAUCUUCAGGUGUAGCUUCCAUGAUAUUCAAGAUUACUUCCAAUUCUCCUCUCUGAGGUGUAUCACACUUAACAAGCCUUCCUCCACUGUCUCGUAUCCACUUGGGAUACACAACUAGUAUCUACCUACAACUUAAAUAAAAACAGAGGACAACAAGAGAAACAGGGCUACAACAGCAAAAUUAAACUAGACUAAAUUUUAAAAGAUAAACUUAGAUUGUAAAUAAACAAAGAAAGAAUGAAAAUUAGUAAAGUGAAAGAAACUUUACCAACUUGUGAUGAAAAUCACAAGUGCUCAACAAUGGUAUCACUACAAACUUGACACUCAUUCCCCGGCAACGACGCCAUUUAAUUCGUGCCCAAUUGGUGUCUCAGCUGAUUUGUGUUCAGCUGGUGCUCCUUGAUUGAGGGAGUAAUCAACAAAAUUUAUUUCCUAUAACACCAUACACUAGGGUAGCAAAGAAAAAGCUACUAUAGUAUAGUGGCUCUAGGGUCGUUCACUGGGAAUGAUUAACAAGCAAUCAAUGAUACCAAUUCCAAGUGAAUUGGUCUUAUUUCAUUUCAUGGUUAGCUUAAGAAGUAAAACACAAACUUUGAUUGGUAAAGGUUUAGACUUAAACUAACUAACAUAACAGAAGUUUGGAAUAAUUUAGGAAGAAAAGCAUUCCUUGGAGAGUUAGGUUCACUGGGGUGGUUCCUCAUGCAAAAGACAUAGCUCCGGUCAGAUGGUUCAUUUCCUCGCAUUAGAGAUUCAACUUAUAGUCAAUUCUCUAACCGGUGAUGUACAGAGACUCCUUCAAUUAGAUUUCACUUUAAUUCUCUCACUGAUGCAACUUGCAAUGGUUUAAGCCUCUCACUAAGCCUUAACCAUUCAAGGUGAUCUUUAACCUUGGAUAACCCGUCAAAAGCUCGCAAGAGAUAACUAAUGGAUGCAUCCUAGGAGUCCAAAAGCUUACCAAGUGUUGGCUAUUCUAGAAAAUCCUACCCUGAAGUCACCUACCAGAGGCUCGCAAGGGGUAAACUAGUGCAUUUCCAUGGUUGGAAAUCACUUGCCUUACCAAGUGUUGGCCCAGGUGACUUCAAGGUGUUUUAAGUUAACUAAAAACAUAUAAAUCACUAAAGGAUUUCACUUCCUCUUCAUUAAUAGCUAAAACCACAGAGCUUUGCAUUCUUGCACUUGGAACCUUCCCCGGCAACCUUAGCUCCAAGGAAUUAGUGGUUUAGUUACUCAUUCUCUGGGGAAAACUCCUCAGAGAGUUCAUAACUUAGUAAGAAAAUGAAAAUACAAAGUGAGAAGGUAAGGCAGUAGAAAGAAAAUAGACUUUACUUGCUUACCCAAACGUUUACAGAAGGAACUCCUCUCCGAGAACAGGCUCCCGAGAGGUAUAUAUAUCAACAUAAUAUAAAACUAAUUGUUACAAAGAUAUUUAGUCUUUUUACUAACUUAAAAACUAAGGAAUCAUGUAAUUGGUGGUUUACAAGGAGUAUUUUGGGAUUUAGACAACAAAAAUCUAAUGGAAAAUAUCUCCAAAUGUCGGUAGCAAACUUCGGGAGGCUUCAGGAAUCAUUUCGCAGGAGAAAAAUGGUGUCUGCGAAAUUUCGCAGACACCCAAGAGGGCUGCGAAAUUAUUUUGCAACACCAAGCUAUCUUCACAAGGCUGCGAAGUUGGCUUCCACCUUGAGGUUCCCAGCUCCCUUCUCGCGGCAUGGUUCGUGCAUCGUCAGAAGGAGAAACACCUUACUGUACAAAAAUGCUGCGAAAUCACUUCGCAACAAAAGGGUGAUUUCGCAACACUUUGCAAAAUGCUUCCUUCAGCUCGGAGUGAUUGGCUUGUAAUGGCUGCAACUUCCUCGUUUCAACUCCGAAUUGCACACCGUUUGAAGCAUUGGAUUGUUGACUUCCUGAGCUUUGAAAUGGUAUAUAGAAUGCAUCAUUUGGACUUCAGAAAGUGCUCCAAAAGUGGCUGCUACGACUGUCAUCAAGAAUAUGCUUUAUGGCAGAUUCUCUUUGCUUUUUCUCCUUGCAAUCUGGAUUCACUCUUGGCAAAUGAAUUCUAAGCUUUGCCCAAGAUUCCUCAUAGCUCUCCUCAGUCUUGACUUGCUUUGGUGAUCAAAAUACUAUCAAAAACACCAAAACUUACACAAAGUGAUCAAAAUUGCUUUAAAGGAUCCUUAACAUGCCAAUUGAGUUAAAAUGCCAAAACUACUACUCAAAAGUGUUUAAAAGGAUUAAUUAUAGGCUAUCAAAUAGCACUUUUUGAGUAGUAAUCAUUUGUAAUGAGACCCUAAUUGUAUUUAUUGUGUUUGUGGUAUUGGGACUUGUUUUAAUAAACUGUGAACUAUGGAUUUGUAAUGAGACCCUAAUUUGAUUAAGUUGUUUAACUAUGAACUUUUAUUUUUGGAUUGUAAUGAUAAUUAAUAUAUCUUGUUGCUUUUUAGUAGUGUUUGGGAUAUUGUUAGUUUGUGAGAACUCUAUUGUCAUGUAUGUGUAAAAAAAAAAAAAUUAAUUCAGGGUGUUUUAGUUUACUGCCAACGUGGAAUAGGAGGAACCCUUAGGGUCAAACCUUUGACCUAGGGUCAUGGACCAAAUUUUGGGUCGCCCGAAAUUUGGAGGUGAAUUAAGAAAGAAGAAAGAUCCCUAGGGUGACAGACCCAAAAGUUUACCCUAGGAAGACUCCUAAUGGGGAGUGUCUUUGGGUGCGGACGCGUAUCCUUCAGUGAAAGCUCGAGAAUGACAGUGCAUUGUAUGACUGUGUGUCACACAUUCAUAUGCAUUUCAUUUAAUUGUUGAAUAUUGUGGAAUUGCGUAUAAUUAUAGAGAUUAAUUUAUGUGGCUUGAUCAUUGUUGUUGAAAUGCUUCUUUUGUAUUCUUUGGAACUUAGUAAUCCCCAUUAACCUCUUGGGUGUUAGGCACCCUACUGAGCAAUGUGGAAUGCUCACCCUUUCCUUUUUACAUCUUUUUAGAUGCAGAUAUCACUCUUGAGAAUCCACAGGUGGGGUAGGAAGGACUUUAGGACGCCCCUAGAGCAGCCUAGUGGAGCGUGUCAUAUUUAUUGUGUUUGUGGUAUUAGGACUUGUUUUAAUAAACUGUGAACUAUGGAUUUGUAAUGAGACACUAAUUUGAUUAAGUUGUUUAACUAUGAACUUUUAUUUUUGGAUUGUGAUGAUAAUUAAUAUAUCUUAUUGUUUUUCAGUAGUGUUUGGGAUAUUGUUAGUUGGUGAGAACUCUAUUGUGAUGUAUGUGUAAAAAAAUAUAUAUACAUAUAUAUAUUAAUUCAAGGUGUUUUUGUUGAUUGCCAACGUGGAAAAGGAGGAACCCCUAGGGUCAAACCUUUGACCUAGGGUCAUGGGCCAAAUUUUGGGUCGCCCGAAAUUUGGAGGUGAAUUAAGAAAUGAGAGAGAUCCUUAGGGUGAAAGACCCAAAAGUUUAUCCCGGGAAGACUCCGAAUGGGGAGUGUAUUUGGGUGAGGACGAGUAUCCUUCGGUGAAAGCUUGAGAAUGACAGUGCAUUGUAUGACAAUGACUGUGUGUCACACAUUCAUAUGCAUUUCAUUUAAUUGUUGAAUAUUAUGGAAUUGUGUAUAAUUAUAUAGAUUAAUUUAUGUGGCUUGAUCAAUGUUGUUAAAAUGCUUCUUUUGUGUUCUUUGGAACUUAGUAAUCCCCAUUAACCCCUUGGGUGUUAGGCAUCCUACUGAGCAAUGUGGAAUGCUCACCUCUUCCUUUUUACAUCUUUUUAGAUGCAGAUAUCACUCUUGAGAAUCCACAGGUGGGGCAGGGAGGACUUCAAGAUGCCCCUGGAGCGACCUAGUGGAACGUGUUGUAUUUAUUGUGUUUGUGGUAUUGCCACUUGUUUUAAUAAACUGUGAACUAUGGAUUUGUAAUGAGACCCUAAUUUGAUUAAGUUGUUUAACUAUGAACUUUUAUUUUUGGUCUGUAAUGAUAAUUAAUAUAUCUUGUUGCUUUUGAGUAGUAUUUGGGAUAUUGUUAGUUGGUGAGAACUCUAUUGUGAUGUAUGUGUGAAAAAUAAAAAAAUAAAAAAAUAAAAAAUUCAGGGUGUUUU